This 436-nucleotide unclassified non-coding RNA is filed under the name uncultured Shewanellaceae bacterium. RNAcentral's name for it is "partial 16S-23S ribosomal RNA intergenic spacer". The stretch from base 300 to 436 matches the Rfam family "Bacterial large subunit ribosomal RNA", at positions 1 to 136 of the family's 2925-position model. The record is from RNAcentral. Lineage: Bacteria; Pseudomonadati; Pseudomonadota; Gammaproteobacteria; Alteromonadales; Shewanellaceae.
CCUCCUUAUACGAUUUAGAACUUAUUUGUUCGUAGUGUCCACACAGAUGAUUGUUAGUUAGUUUUACCCUUUGGGUUUAACUGAUUAAUAUGCUCUUUAAAAAUUUGGAAAAGCUGAUAAUAAAAUUCGUAUGAAUAACACUGUUAUUUGUACAGAGUUUUCAAAAGUAAAAAAGAAUGAUAGCAGUAUCAUUCAGUGCCAAUUUAAUCAUUUAUGAUUAAUUGGUAUCUACUUUAGUAUUCAAUAUUAACUUCUGGCGAAGUUAAACUGUCACUAACAAAGACCCGUUUGGGUUGUAUGGUUAAGUGAUUAAGCGUACACGGUGGAUGCCUUGGCAGUUGGAGGCGAUGAAGGACGUAUUAACUUGCGAUAAGCCUAGUCAAGCUAGUAAAAAGCGCUUGAGACUAGGAUUUCCGAAUGGGGAAACCAAGGGCGA